Molecule: long non-coding RNA, 353 nt
Filed under: Mus caroli (Ryukyu mouse)
Lineage: Eukaryota; Metazoa; Chordata; Mammalia; Rodentia; Muridae
Description: lncRNA (MGP_CAROLIEiJ_G0013404.1)
Source: RNAcentral
GGAGCUUUGCUGAAACUGCACAAAAAAAUCGAGCUGGGGGGUUCCCUGGUCCCCGAUGUUGGGGCGGAGAGCGCGGCGCCCAGGGAGGGGGCGGCGCAGACCGGCCUAGGGGACACCUGGUCGAGCGCAGCCGCCGCUCCGCUCGAGCCCUGCGCUCCAGUGCCCCCACUGGCUGGAGAGCUCGCCCAGACCAGGGGUCUUCCUCCGUCGCUGACAGUUGUUACCUGUUAAGUCAUUAAGAUCCAGAAAGGGUGAAACAAAUGAAAACAAUAAAUAAAGUUGCAUUUUCACCUCGAUUUGGAAGCAGUAAAAGAUUUUAACCGUUAGAAGAGUACCAGUUCUGGAAAACAACC